RNAcentral lists this ribosomal RNA (1498 nucleotides) under human gut metagenome. Its description in RNAcentral is "bacterial LSU rRNA". It matches the Rfam family "Bacterial large subunit ribosomal RNA", at positions 1349 to 2925 of the family's 2925-position model. The record is from RNAcentral.
GGUUUCUGGAGGAAGGUUCGUCCGCUCCAGGUUAGUCGGGAGCUAAGGUGAGGCCGGAAGGCGUAGCCGAUGCACAGACGGUAGAGAUUCCGUCACCACCAAAAGAGUUAAGCACAGGGACACAUAUGAAGUCUCAGAGCCGGGUGUUGGUUCCGGUAGAGAUCGAGGGAAGUUAGUACCGAAGUCUGAGAUGGAAGAUGGCGAGAAAAGCUGUGUGUAUUUCUGAGGUGCCCGUACCGCAAACCGACACAGGUAGGUAGGAAGAAGAUUCUAAGGCCAACGGGAGAAGGGUUGUUAAGGAACUCGGCAAAUUGACCCCGUAACUUCGGGAGAAGGGGUGCUCCAGAGAUGGAGCCGCAGAGAAUCGGCCCAAGCAACUGUUUACCAAAAACACAGGUUUGUGCUAAAUCGAAAGAUGACGUAUACGAGCUGACGCCUGCCCGGUGCUGGAAGGUUAAGAGGAGAUGUGCAAGCAUUGAAUCGAAGCCCCAGUGAACGGCGGCCGUAACUAUAACGGUCCUAAGGUAGCGAAAUUCCUUGUCAGGUAAGUUCUGACCCGCAUGAAAGGCGUAAUGAUUUGGGCACUGUCUCAACAGCCCGCCCGGCGAAAUUGUAGUACCGGUGAAGAUGCCGGUUACCCGCGACAAGACGGAAAGACCCCAUGGAGCUUUACUGUAGCCUAAUAUUGGGUUUCGAUGUUGCAUGCACAGGAUAGAUGGGACACUGGGAAACAAUCGCUUUGGCGGUUGCGGAGUGGCCGUUGGGAUACCAUCCUUGCGAUAUUGGAAUUCUAACCUGCGGCUCUGAAUCGAGUCGGGGGACAUUGUUAGGUGGGCAGUUUGACUGGGGCGGUCGCCUCCUAAAGAGUAACGGAGGCGUUCAAAGGUUCGCUCAGCUUGAACGGAAAUCAAGCAAAAGAGUGCAAACGCAGAAGCGAGCCUAACUGCGAGACUGACGGGUCGAGCAGUAACGAAAGUUGGAGUUAGUGAUCCGGUGGUAUGUGAGUGGAAAUGCCAUCGCUCAACGGAUAAAAGCUACCCUGGGGAUAACAGGCUGAUCUCCCCCAAGAGUCCACAUCGACGGGGAGGUUUGGCACCUCGAUGUCGGCUCAUCGCAUCCUGGGGCUGUAUUCGGUCCCAAGGGUUUGGCUGUUCGCCAAUUAAAGCGGUACGCGAGCUGGGUUCAGAACGUCGUGAGACAGUUCGGUCCCUAUCUGUCGUGGGCGCAGGAUAUUUGAUGGGAGCUGUCCCUAGUACGAGAGGACCGGGACGGACGUACCUCUGGCGCACCAGUUGUUCCGCCAGGAGCAUAGCUGGGCAACUACGUACGGAUCGGAUAAACGCUGAAAGCAUCUAAGCGUGAAGCCGACCCAAAGAUAAGAUAUCCCAUUGUUUCAAACAAGUAAGACCCCUUGAAGACUACAAGGUUGAUAGGCACGAUGUGUAAGUGGAGCGAUCCAUUCAGCAAGCGUGUACUAAUAGGUCGAGGGCUUGACCAC